UUUGUAAGUGGGUUCCCUACUAAAUGGAAAUUAUCUUUCAGAAAUUUGGAUUGGCUGACAGCCCUGCAACAGAGCCAACUUCUGGAAUUAAAGAUGAUACUUUUCAUGACAUCUGGAUACAACCUACUUGACCUUCCUCAUGACCCUCAAAAUCCACAUGGCCUAUGUGACAUGCCACAGUAAUCACCUUCCAGUCACAGCAUGACUCCACAAGGCUUGUGCCAGCUUCCUGUAAACCAUCAAGUAAAAGUUUCCAAAGGAAGCCUGCUCAGAAAUCAUUGAUUCAACAGUUUAACUGGAUGUUUCCUAGAGGAUCUGUACUCUGACCGUUUCCAGAGUACUCUCAGGUCUUUGGUGCCACCUUGAUGGUUUUUUUCAUUAUCCCCGAACAAAAGAAGGCAGAGGCAUCAGUUCUGAAAAUCUGACCCUUUCUACACUCCGUUUUACCCGGAGCACAUGCUGCCUCACACCUGCGGAAGUCCCCUGCUGCGGCAUGCUCACCUCUCCUUACCCGGUCACCAGUCACUUAUUACUGAGCCCAGCAGUGGGGAAUCCCUGUCACCUCUGUGUUUCAAGAGAAGCAGAACUGAAAGAGUUUAUUGGGCUUCUCUGCCCCAGUUAGUUGGAGGAAUCUACAUCUGUUGCCGUCUAAAAAUAUUCUGCGGCAUCCCGCGUUCUAGUAUCACCAAACCACUUUUGUUGAAAUGACUCUUUUUCUCUUGGUUAUUUUAUUGGGGCUCAAGCCUUCCUUUGAUUACAACAAAGACUUGUGGAGAGUGAAGCCUGCAUCUUGUGGUGCAAUGAGAUGGAAAAUCUUACCCUGGCCACAUGACAGCAUAGUCAAGUGGGGAGCUGCGUUGGACUAAUCGUUAGAGUGCAGACCAUGCGAUCGGAGUGUAGAAUGGUUUCCUUCUGAGGAUGUAAUUAAAACCAUUACUUAAAAAUAAACAUUGUGACAUCGUGAAUGGGCUAUUUUGAAAGUGUAGAACACCUAGGAGAAUUCAAGUUUCCAUGAAAAAGUAUCUCUUCAUUCACACAUGCAAGCUUUGCUGAUCUCGAAAAUUUAAAGAAAUGUACCAAUCUCCUGGCCAAUGACAAUGAUUGUUUUUAUAGUCGUCUAAAAUGUAGAGUAUAUAAAAAUCAUUGAAUAUUUUAUAAUAUUUUUCAGGGUCAUUAUGAGACACUCUCUUUUUAUCCAAUAAGGAUUAAAUAACCACAUCUAUGUGUUUUGUUGCUUAUUUGUAUAAUUAAAGCAAAUACAUAUAGGCUGAGCUGA
Molecule: long non-coding RNA, 1276 nt
Organism: Psammomys obesus (fat sand rat)
Lineage: Eukaryota; Metazoa; Chordata; Mammalia; Rodentia; Muridae
Exons: 3
Source: RefSeq, a predicted model, not a curated record